ACACAUGCUAGCCAAGUGUGCUACUGCUGAGCCCCAGCCCCCCAGCCCCCCAGCCCUAUUUUGUAUUUUAUUUAAAGACAGGGUUUCUCUGAGCUGCUAAGCACCUCACUAUUGCUGAGGCUGGCUUUGAACUCGUGAUCUUCCUGCCUCAGCCUCCGAGCUGCUGGGAUUAUAGGCACCACCGCUCCUGGCUUGUAUUUAUAUCUUAAGUUUAAUGAUAUUUACCUGUCAGCUAUAUUCAGUGUCCUGAUGUGCCUUUUAAAGCCUUUCUUCAUUUCUAUUAUAGUCUGUUUGAAUUUUUGCUUAGUUUCCAUAUCUCUCCUAAAAUACCCAUGUUUUAUUUCAUGUUGUCCACUUUCUCAAUUAGAAUUCUUAGUGUAUUAAUCAUAAUUAAAAUCUCACUGUUGAUUUCUAGUGCUUUGAGAAGAAAUGUUUUUUAAAGAACCUGGCUUCUUUCUGUUUGUUACCACUCUUGUGAGGCUUCUUUGCUUAUAUCACCAAAACCUGUUUUCAUUUAUUAGUGCUCACUGAUUUCUGGAUGCUCAGUGGGGCUCGGUGGUGCAUGCCUAUAAUCCCAGCUACUUGAGGGGAGACCGAGGCAGGAGGAUUGUAAGUUCAGACAGCCUCAGCAAUUUAGUGACACCCUGUCUUGAAAUUAAAAAAAAUUUACAAAAGGGCUGUGAUGUGGCUCAGUGGUUAAGCCCUGGGUCCUGGGUUCAAAUCUUUGCCCUCACCCUCCAAAAAAAAGAAGAAAAAAAGAAUAUGGAUGACCACACAAAAUUUUGUACAUAUAUGUUUGGAGCAGUAGUAUUCAUACUAGCCCAAGGGGAAGCAACUUAAAAGUUCGUGUGCUGAUGAAUAGAUAAAUAAAAUACAUAUCAAUACUAUGAAGCAUUAUAUGCUGUAACUUGGAUGAAUUUGAAAACAUCAUGCUAUGUGAAAGAAGCCAGUGGAAAAAUUAAACUAGAUAUUAUAUAAUUUCAUUUAUAUGAAUUGUCCAGAAUAGGUAAAUCCAUAGAGACAAAAAAUAAAUUAGUGACUGCCCAAGGUAGCCCUGAGAGAGAGGGAGUAUGUAUGAGGAUGGGAGGGAGGGAAUUGCGUGGAUUGGGGAAAAGACAACUACGGAUGCUAGGUUUCUUUUUGGGAUGAUGAAAAUGUUCUGGGCUAGGGUUAUGGCUCAGGGCAGAGUGCUUGCCUAGCAUGCGUGGGGCACUGGGUUCAAUCCUUAGCACCACAUAAAGUAAAACAAAGACGUGUACACCUCUAACUAAAGAAAUUAAAAAAAAAAAGAAAAGAAAGAAAGUAAAUGUUCUAAAAUUGAUUGUGGUAACAGUUGCACAUCUUUUAAUAUAGUAGCCAUCGAUUAUGUGUUGUCAGCAUGGGAUAUGUGAAUCACAUUUCAGUAAAACUGUUAAAGAAUGUAGCAGAUAUAUUCAAGACUAUUAAGAGCAU
This 1452-nucleotide long non-coding RNA is filed under the name Marmota monax (woodchuck). Lineage: Eukaryota; Metazoa; Chordata; Mammalia; Rodentia; Sciuridae. The record is from RNAcentral.